UACGGAGGGGGCUAGCGUUGUUCGGAAUUACUGGGCGUAAAGCGCACGUAGGCGGCUUUACAAGUCAGGGGUGAAAGCCCGCGGCUCAACCGCGGAAUUGCCCUUGAGACUGUAUCGCUUGAACACGGGAGAGGUGAGUGGAAUUCCGAGUGUAGAGGUGAAAUUCGUAGAUAUUCGGAAGAACACCAGUGGCGAAGGCGGCUCACUGGACCGUUGUUGACGCUGAGGCGCGACAGCGUGGGGAGCAAACAGG
Molecule: ribosomal RNA, 253 nt
Filed under: uncultured bacterium
Lineage: Bacteria
Description: partial 16S ribosomal RNA
Rfam family: Bacterial small subunit ribosomal RNA
Source: RNAcentral